AGAGUUUGAUCAUGGCUCAGGACGAACGCUGGCGGCGCGCCUAACACAUGCAAGUCGAACGGAGCUAAGAGGAGCUUGCUUUUCUUAGCUUAGUGGCGAACGGGUGAGUAACGCGUGAGUAACCUGCCCUGGAGUGGGGGACAACAGUUGGAAACGACUGCUAAUACCGCAUAAGCCCACGGCCCGGCAUCGGGCUGCGGGAAAAGGAUUUAUUCGCUCUAGGAUGGACUCGCGUCCAAUUAGCUAGUUGGUGAGGUAACGGCCCACCAAGGCGACGAUUGGUAGCCGGACUGAGAGGUUGAACGGCCACAUUGGGACUGAGACACGGCCCAGACUCCUACGGGAGGCAGCAGUGGGGGAUAUUGCACAAUGGGGGAAACCCUGAUGCAGCGACGCCGCGUGGAGGAAGAAGGUUUUCGGAUUGUAAACUCCUGUCGUUAGGGACGAUAAUGACGGUACCUAACAAGAAAGCACCGGCUAACUACGUGCCAGCAGCCGCGGUAAAACGUAGGGUGCAAGCGUUGUCCGGAAUUACUGGGUGUAAAGGGAGCGCAGGCGGACCGGCAAGUUGGAAGUGAAAACCAUGGGCUCAACCCAUGAAUUGCUUUCAAAACUGCUGGCCUUGAGUAGUGCAGAGGUAGGUGGAAUUCCCGGUGUAGCGGUGGAAUGCGUAGAUAUCGGGAGGAACACCAGUGGCGAAGGCGACCUACUGGGCACCAACUGACGCUGAGGCUCGAAAGCAUGGGUAGCAAGCAGGAUUAGAUACCCUGGUAGUCCAUGCCGUAAACGAAGAUUACUAGGUGUUGGAGGAUUGACCCCUUCAGUGCCGCAGUUAACACAAUAAGUAAUCCACCUGGGGAGUACGACCGCAAGGUUGAAACUCAAAGGAAUUGACGGGGGCCCGCACAAGCAGUGGAGUAUGUGGUUUAAUUCGAAGCAACGCGAAGAACCUUACCAGGUCUUGACAUCCGAUGCAUAGCUUAGAGAUAAGUGAAGUCCUUCGGGACAUCGAGACAGGUGGUGCAUGGUUGUCGUCAGCUCGUAUCGUGAGAUGUUGGGUUAAGUCCCGCAACGAGCGCAACCCUUAUUGCCAGUUACUACGCAAGAGGACUCUGGCGAGACUGCCGUUGACAAAACGGAGGAAGGUGGGGAUGACGUCAAAUCAUCAUGCCCUUUAUGACCUGGGCUACACACGUACUACAAUGGCGUUUAACAAAGAGAAGCAAGACCGCGAGGUGGAGCAAAACUCAGAAACAACGUC
RNAcentral lists this ribosomal RNA (1261 nucleotides) under metagenome. RNAcentral describes it as "bacterial SSU rRNA". It matches the Rfam family "Bacterial small subunit ribosomal RNA", at positions 8 to 1287 of the family's 1533-position model. The record is from RNAcentral.